UUCCGGUUGAUCCUGCCGGACCCGACUGCUAUCAGAGUGGGACUAAGCCAUGCGAGUCAACGUAGAAAUACGUGGCGAACGGCUCAGUAACACGUAGUCAACAUGCCCAGGGGACGUGGAUAACCUCGGGAAACUGAGGAUAAACCGCGAUAGGCCAUGAUUUCUGGAAUGGUUCAUGGCUGAAAUCUAUAUGGCCUCUGGAUUGGACUGCGGCCGAUCAGGCUGUUGGUGAGGUAAUGGCCCACCAAACCUGUAACCGGUACGGGCUUUGAGAGGAGGAGCCCGGAGAUGGGCACUGAGACAAGGGCCCAGGCCCUAUGGGGCGCAGCAGGCGCGAAAUCUCUGCAAUAGGCGAAAGCUUGACAGGGUUACUCUGAGUGAUCUCCGCUAAGGGGAUCUUUUGGCACCUCUAAAAAUGGUGCAGAAUAAGGGGUGGGCAAGUCUGGUGUCAGCCGCCGCGGUAAUACCAGCACCCCGAGUGGUCGGGACGAUUAUUGGGCUAAAGCAUCCGUAGCCGGUACUGCAA
This 526-nucleotide ribosomal RNA is filed under the name uncultured archaeon. Its description in RNAcentral is "bacterial SSU rRNA". It matches the Rfam family "Archaeal small subunit ribosomal RNA", at positions 1 to 536 of the family's 1478-position model. The record is from RNAcentral.